GGAAUCAACUGAGGGCUCAGCUUUUCCUCUGCAAGAAACCUGCUCUCUGGGACAGCCCAAGGGAGCUCAUUCAUCCCUUCCACCACGUGAGGAUGUGGUGAGAAUGUGCUAUCUAUGAACCAGGAAGCAGACCCUCAGCAGACACUGAAUCUACCAGUCCCUUGACCUUGGACAUCCUAACCUCCAGAACUGAAAAAGUCAAUACACAACCUGAAAAAUGGUCAUUGUUUGUGAUUUAAAAGAAGAGUAAGCUUUAGGAAUAAAUACUAACAUCACUGGGAACUCUGUCUCAUCCUCACAUCCUUUGAAAAGGCAUUUGUGAUAAUGUAAGCACAAAGAACAAAACUAUUUAAAGACCACACACAUACCCUCUCAAACAAAUCACCUCCCUUUGGGAAAGCAACAUGUUC
This 410-nucleotide long non-coding RNA is filed under the name Homo sapiens (human). Its description in RNAcentral is "HSALNT0209560". The record is from RNAcentral. Lineage: Eukaryota; Metazoa; Chordata; Mammalia; Primates; Hominidae.